GGGAAUGUGGCUUAGUGGUAGAGUGCUAGCUUUGCACGCAUGAAGCCCUGGGUUCGAUUCCUCAGUACCA
Molecule: transfer RNA, 70 nt
Filed under: Dipodomys ordii (Ord's kangaroo rat)
Lineage: Eukaryota; Metazoa; Chordata; Mammalia; Rodentia; Heteromyidae
Rfam family: tRNA
About the family: Transfer RNA (tRNA) molecules are approximately 80 nucleotides in length.
Source: Rfam by way of RNAcentral